CGUGCACGCUGGCGGUAGGCCUAACACAUGCAAGUCGAACGGCAGCACAGUAAGAGCUUGCUCUUACGGGUGGCGAGUGGCGGACGGGUGAGGAAUACAUCGGAAUCUACUUUUUCGUGGGGGAUAACGUAGGGAAACUUACGCUAAUACCGCAUACGACCUACGGGUGAAAGCAGGGGAUCUUCGGACCUUGCGCGAUUGAAUGAGCCGAUGUCGGAUUAGCUAGUUGGCGGGGUAAAGGCCCACCAAGGCGACGAUCCGUAGCUGGUCUGAGAGGAUGAUUAGCCACACUGGAACUGAGACACGGUCCCGACUCCUACGGGAGGCAGCAGUGGGGAAUUUUGGACAAUGGGCGGAAGCCUGAUCCAGCCAUACCGCGUGGGCGAAGAAGGCCUUCGGGUUGUUAAGCCCUUUUGUUGUGAAAGAAAAGCAGCAGGUUAAUACCCCGCUGUUCUGACGGUACCCAAAGAAUAAGCACCGGCUAACUUCGUG
RNAcentral lists this ribosomal RNA (492 nucleotides) under uncultured bacterium. RNAcentral's name for it is "partial 16S ribosomal RNA". It matches the Rfam family "Bacterial small subunit ribosomal RNA", at positions 29 to 507 of the family's 1533-position model. The record is from RNAcentral.